UACGUAGGGGGCAAGCGUUAUCCGGAAUUACUGGGUGUAAAGGGAGAGUAGGCGGCAAGGUAAGCGAUAUGUGAAAGCCUUAGGCUUAACCUGGGGAUUGCAUAACGAACUAUCUAGCUAGAGUACAGGAGAGGAAAGCGGAAUUCCUAGUGUAGCGGUGAAAUGCGUAGAUAUUAGGAAGAACACCAGUGGCGAAGGCGGCUUUCUGGACUGAAACUGACGCUGAGGCUCGAAAGCGUGGGGAGCGAACAGG
RNAcentral lists this ribosomal RNA (253 nucleotides) under uncultured bacterium. RNAcentral's name for it is "partial 16S ribosomal RNA". It matches the Rfam family "Bacterial small subunit ribosomal RNA", at positions 524 to 776 of the family's 1533-position model. The record is from RNAcentral.